UACGUAGGGUGCAAGCGUUAUCCGGAAUUAUUGGGCGUAAAGAGCUCGUAGGCGGUUUGUCGCGUCUGCUGUGAAAACUGGAGGCUCAACCUCCAGCCUGCAGUGGGUACGGGCAGACUAGAGUGCGGUAGGGGAGAUUGGAAUUCCCGGUGUAGUGGUGGAAUGCGUAGAUAUCGGGAGGAACACCAGUGGCGAAGGCGGUUGCCUGGAGCUUUGCUGACGCUGAGGCGCGAAAGCGUGGGGAGCGAUCCGG
RNAcentral lists this ribosomal RNA (253 nucleotides) under uncultured bacterium. RNAcentral's name for it is "partial 16S ribosomal RNA". It matches the Rfam family "Bacterial small subunit ribosomal RNA", at positions 524 to 776 of the family's 1533-position model. The record is from RNAcentral.